CUCCUCACCUCACCUUGUCUCGUGUUCCCUUUUGACAGGUAAUCCCCUCCUCACCAUCUCUGUUGCCGGGCCAGGGUUCCGCCGAUCCCCCAAGGUGCAACUCCCGGCCAUGGGGAAGCGCCAGCAGCCGGAGGCGGCCGAGCAGCCCAUGGCGCCGGUGCGAGGCCCUGCCCUCCUCACCAUCUUGUGAAUGGUGCAGGCCCCGAAGCGAGGCGGCAAGGCGCCGGUGUCGCGAAGAAGAAGGCGGCGUACAAGGUGGUGAACCCGCUGUUCGAGAAGAGGCCGAAGCAGUUUGGAAUCGGUGGUGCCCUGCCGCACAAGAAGGCCCAAGAAGGACCUCCACUGGUUCGCCAAGUGGCCUGAGGUCGUGCGCAUCCAGCGCCAGCGCCGCAUCCUCAAGCAGCGCCUCAAGGUGCCCUGGCACUCCACUAGUUCACCCGUACCCUCGACAAGAACCUCGAUGCACAGGAGCUCUACGAAGAAGAACCCCGAAGAAAAACCACACCCAGCAAUGCGUUUUAGCCCACUGGAGCUAGUUAUGUGUAUAUUUAGUUGUAUUUUAUAGCUGAAAACCAGAUCUGUACUAUGUAUGAUUGUAAUGUACUUUGCUUGGCUGUUGUAUAAAAUAUGAUGCCUUAU
Long non-coding RNA from Triticum dicoccoides, 639 nucleotides. RefSeq lists it as uncharacterized. NCBI's taxonomy places the organism in Eukaryota, Viridiplantae, Streptophyta, Magnoliopsida, Poales, Poaceae. The transcript has 3 exons. The record is from RefSeq and is a predicted model, not a curated record.